RNAcentral lists this long non-coding RNA (903 nucleotides) under Brachypodium distachyon (stiff brome). RNAcentral describes it as "long non-coding RNA (BDIS_LNC005781)". The record is from RNAcentral. Lineage: Eukaryota; Viridiplantae; Streptophyta; Magnoliopsida; Poales; Poaceae.
CUCAGUAGCAAAACCGUUAGAAGAUUGUCUCAUGUUUAAAACAUGAUUUGGAUCAAUAUGCUUCCGUAAUAGGGAUUAUGAGAUUGAUUUACUCUACUUUUCUAGCUAUCCUGGGGUUGCUUAAUUAUGUCUUUCUACUAACCUAUCUAAAUAUGUCAGCUAGAAAGUAGAGAUGUUUCCCUCUAUUCAAAGGGGUUAGCAUUAAUAAUGUAAAAGUCUAUGACAAAAAAGGGAGAAUGAAUGUCCUCUAAAGACAUCUAUAAAGUAUUGGGUAGCUCGAAAUGUACCGAUUUAAUAAAAGAUACAAUCAACACAUGGCGGCUAUUGACAUGGUCCUUUUUUUUUACAAAUGACAUUAAUAAUCAUUAGGCUACAAAUAAAUUCAAUUUAGAAUGCUGUUUUAUUUUAUGGCCCGCUAACAAAUGAAAGGCCCGAUGUUUUUCUUUUUUUUUGGGAUUUUCUAGACUCCUAUCUUUUUUCUGGUUGCUCCGUCAUGUACUUUUAAUAUAUACCUAUCUAAAAAAUACGGACCGUUCCCUUCACCGUCCUCUGUCAAACUUUCCAAAAAAUUUAUGGGCCCCCCAAGAUUGCACAUAUAUUAGGCCUACUAAGCCGGCUGGCUCGUUACCUACACCAAAUUGGACUGGAACUAUUAAGCCGGCUGGCCCGUUAUCUGCACCGAAUUGGACUGGAACUCCGCGAGGGAAUUCAUCGCCAGCGGGAUCAUUACGAGAGUCGGGCAACAACUCUGAAUCUGACGAGAAAAAGAUCGCUCCGCCGAAACACUACGGGAGUCGGAAGAUGAGACCCGAUCGGGCACCCAUCGGGCAAGAAACCGAAGCCACGGCCGUCCCAUCUGUCUCCCAGGCGCGGCCACGGCUGGUCCCCUCUUUCGUUUCCUAG